RNAcentral lists this ribosomal RNA (995 nucleotides) under uncultured bacterium. RNAcentral's name for it is "bacterial SSU rRNA". It matches the Rfam family "Bacterial small subunit ribosomal RNA", at positions 355 to 1375 of the family's 1533-position model. The record is from RNAcentral.
UGGGGAAUAUUGCACAAUGGGGGAAACCCUGAUGCAGCGACGCCGCGUGGAGGAAGAAGGUCUUCGGAUUGUAAACUCCUGUUGUUGAGGAAGAUAAUGACGGUACUCAACAAGGAAGUGACGGCUAACUACGUGCCAGCAGCCGCGGUAAAACGUAGGUCACAAGCGUUGUCCGGAAUUACUGGGUGUAAAGGGAGCGCAGGCGGGCGAUCAAGUUGGAAGUGAAAUCCAUGGGCUCAACCCAUGAACUGCUUUCAAAACUGAUUGUCUUGAGUAGUGCAGAGGUAGGCGGAAUUCCCGGUGUAGCGGUGGAAUGCGUAGAUAUCGGGAGGAACACCAGUGGCGAAGGCGGCCUACUGGGCACCAACUGACGCUGAGGCUCGAAAGUGUGGGUAGCAAACAGGAUUAGAUACCCUGGUAGUCCACACCGUAAACGAUGAUUACUAGGUGUUGGAGGAUUGACCCCUUCAGUGCCGCAGUUAACACAAUAAGUAAUCCACCUGGGGAGUACGACCGCAAGGUUGAAACUCAAAGGAAUUGACGGGGGCCCGCACAAGCAGUGGAGUAUGUGGUUUAAUUCGACGCAACGCGAAGAACCUUACCAAGUCUUGACAUCCUGCGACGAUGCUAGAAAUAGUGUUUUCCUUCGGGACGCAGAGACAGGUGGUGCAUGGUUGUCGUCAGCUCGUGUCGUGAGAUGUUGGGUUAAGUCCCGCAACGAGCGCAACCCUUAUGGUCAGUUACUACGCAAGAGGACUCUGGCCAGACUGCCGUUGACAAAACGGAGGAAGGUGGGGAUGACGUCAAAUCAUCAUGCCCUUUAUGACUUGGGCUACACACGUACUACAAUGGCGUUAAACAAAGAGAAGCAAGACCGCGAGGUGGAGCAAAACUCAGAAACAACGUCCCAGUUCGGACUGCAGGCUGCAACUCGCCUGCACGAAGUCGGAAUUGCUAGUAAUCGCAGAUCAGCAUGCUGCGGUGAAUACGUUCCC